GGCCCCUUGGUCAAGCGGUUAAGACACCACCCUUUCACGGUGGUAACAGGAGUUCGAGUCUCCUAGGGGUCA
RNAcentral lists this transfer RNA (72 nucleotides) under Clostridium carboxidivorans P7. It matches the Rfam family "tRNA". From Rfam's summary of the family: Transfer RNA (tRNA) molecules are approximately 80 nucleotides in length. Their secondary structure includes four short double-helical elements and three loops (D, anti-codon, and T loops). Further hydrogen bonds mediate the characteristic L-shaped molecular structure. tRNAs have two regions of fundamental functional importance: the anti-codon, which is responsible for specific mRNA codon recognition, and the 3' end, to which the tRNAs corresponding amino acid is attached (by aminoacyl-tRNA synthetases). tRNAs cope with the degeneracy of the genetic code in two manners: having more than one tRNA (with a specific anti-codon) for a particular amino acid; and 'wobble' base-pairing, i.e. permitting non-standard base-pairing at the 3rd anti-codon position. Lineage: Bacteria; Bacillati; Bacillota; Clostridia; Eubacteriales; Clostridiaceae. The record is from Rfam by way of RNAcentral.